This 534-nucleotide ribosomal RNA is filed under the name Pseudoalteromonas sp. 7IX/A01/137. RNAcentral describes it as "bacterial SSU rRNA". It matches the Rfam family "Bacterial small subunit ribosomal RNA", at positions 356 to 884 of the family's 1533-position model. Lineage: Bacteria; Pseudomonadati; Pseudomonadota; Gammaproteobacteria; Alteromonadales; Pseudoalteromonadaceae. The record is from RNAcentral.
GGGGAAUAUUGCACAUGGGCGCAAGCCUGAUGCAGCCAUGCCGCGUGUGUGAAGAAGGCCUUCGGGUUGUAAAGCACUUUCAGUAAGGAGGAAAGGUUAAGUGUUAAUAGCACUUAGCUGUGACGUUACUUACAGAAGAAGCACCGGCUAACUCCGUGCCAGCAGCCGCGGUAAUACGGAGGGUGCGAGCGUUAAUCGGAAUUACUGGGCGUAAAGCGUACGCAGGCGGUUUGUUAAGCGAGAUGUGAAAGCCCCGGGCUCAACCUGGGAACUGCAUUUCGAACUGGCAAACUAGAGUGUGAUAGAGGGUGGUAGAAUUUCAGGUGUAGCGGUGAAAUGCGUAGAGAUCUGAAGGAAUACCGAUGGCGAAGGCAGCCACCUGGGUCAACACUGACGCUCAUGUACGAAAGCGUGGGGAGCAAACAGGAUUAGAUACCCUGGUAGUCCACGCCGUAAACGAUGUCUACUAGAAGCUCGGGUCUUCGGACUUGUUUUUCAAAGCUAACGCAUUAAGUAGACCGCCUGGGGAGUACG